UACACACCGCCCGUCACACCAUGGGAGUGGGCUGUACCAGAAGCAGGUAGUUUAACCGCGAGGGGGACACUUGCCACGGUAUGGUUCAUGACUGGGGUG
This 99-nucleotide ribosomal RNA is filed under the name uncultured bacterium. RNAcentral describes it as "partial 16S ribosomal RNA". It matches the Rfam family "Bacterial small subunit ribosomal RNA", at positions 1384 to 1482 of the family's 1533-position model. The record is from RNAcentral.